RNAcentral lists this ribosomal RNA (466 nucleotides) under uncultured bacterium. RNAcentral's name for it is "bacterial SSU rRNA". It matches the Rfam family "Bacterial small subunit ribosomal RNA", at positions 335 to 793 of the family's 1533-position model. The record is from RNAcentral.
AUCCUACGGGAGGCAGCAGUGGGGAAUAGUUGCACAAUGGGCGCAAGCCUGAUGCAGCCAUGCCGCGUGUAUGAAGAAGGCCUUCGGGUUGUAAAGUACUUUCAGCAGUGAGGAAGGUGGAUAUGUUAAUAGCAUAUUCAUUUGACGUUAGCUGCAGAAGAAGCACCGGCUAACUCCGUGCCAGCAGCCGCGGUAAUACGGAGGGUGCGAGCGUUAAUCGGAAUUACUGGGCGUAAAGCGCAUGCAGGUGGUUUGUUAAGUCAGAUGUGAAAGCCCCGGGGCUCAACCUCGGAAUUGCAUUUGAAACUGGCAAACUAGAGUACUGUAGAGGGGGUAGAAUUUCAGGUGUAGCGGUGAAAUGCGUAGAGAUCUGAAGGAAUACCGGUGGCGAAGGCGGCCCCCUGGACAGAUACUGACACUCAGAUGCGAAAGCGUGGGGAGCAAACAGGAUUAGAUACCCUGGUAG